CUACGGGGGGCUGCAGUGGGGAAUAUUGGACAAUGGGGGAAACCCUGAUCCAGCAAUGCCGCGUGUGUGAAGAAGGCCUGCGGGUUGUAAAGCACUUUCGGUUGGGAGGACUGCUUCUAGCACUAAUAUUGUUGGAAGUUGACGUUACCUUCAGAAGAAGCACCGGCUAACUCCGUGCCAGCAGCCGCGGUAUACGGGGGGUGCAAGCGUUAAUCGGAAUUACUGGGCGUAAAGCGCGCGUAGGCGGCUAGAUCAGUCGGGUGCGAAAGCCCCGGGCUUAACCUGGGAACUGCAUCCGAUACCGUCUAGCUUGAGUACAGGAGAGGAGAGUGGAAUUCCACAUGUAGCGGUGAAAUGCGUAGAUAUGUGGAGGAACACCAAUGGCGAAGGCAGCUCUCUGGCCUGAUACUGACGCUGAGGUGCGAAAGCGUGGGGAGCAAACAGGAUUAGAUACCCUUGUAGUC
This 464-nucleotide ribosomal RNA is filed under the name uncultured bacterium. RNAcentral describes it as "partial 16S ribosomal RNA". It matches the Rfam family "Bacterial small subunit ribosomal RNA", at positions 339 to 795 of the family's 1533-position model. The record is from RNAcentral.